RNAcentral lists this ribosomal RNA (440 nucleotides) under uncultured bacterium. RNAcentral's name for it is "partial 16S ribosomal RNA". It matches the Rfam family "Bacterial small subunit ribosomal RNA", at positions 338 to 795 of the family's 1533-position model. The record is from RNAcentral.
CCUACGGGGGGCAGCAGUGGGGGAUAUUGCACAAUGGGGGGAACCCUGAUGCAGCGACGCCGCGUGGGUGAAGAAGCGCCUCGGCGCGUAAAGCCCUGUCAGCAGGGAAGAAAAUGACGGUACCUGAAGAAGAAGCCCCGGCUAACUACGUGCCAGCAGCCGCGGUAAUACGUAGGGGGCAAGCGUUAUCCGGAUUUACUGGGUGUAAAGGGGGCGCAGACGGCGAUGCAAGCCAGGAGUGAAAGCCCGGGGCCCAACCCCGGGACUGCUCUUGGAACUGCGUGGCUGGAGUGCAGGAGGGGCAGGCGGAAUGCCUGGUGUAGCGGUGAAAUGCGUAGAUAUCACGCAGAACCCCGAUUGCGAAGGCAGCCUGCCAGGCCAUGACUGACGCUGAUGCACGAAAGCGUGGGGAGCAAACAGGAUUAGAUACCCUUGUAGUC